UUUGUUGGAACCCUCUGUUUAUAAAAAGCUUCUGAUCAACAACCUAGAAUUUUCUAAAAGCCUUGGGAAUCCUGUCUUCAUCAAUGGAACAUUAUGUUUGAGUGCAGGUACAUAUAUCUUGGGCUAUUUGACAGCAAAGUAGAAGCUGCAAGGGCUUAUGACAAGGCGGCUAUAAAAUGUAAUGGAAGGGAAGCUGUUUCCAAUUUCGAACCAAGUACAUAUGAAGGAGAGAUAGCCGUGUAGGCUGAUUCUGGAGGAACUGCCCACAAUCUCAAUCUGAACCUAGGGAUUUCCCCCCCUUCUUUUGCCCAUGGUUCGAAGGAGAGUGAGAGUUUGGCUGGCUUCCAUUUUCAUUGCAGCCCUUUUGAGGUGCCUAAAAACAGGAAUAUUAGGGCUGAGAACCCAACUUCAGUACCUCAAUGCUUGACCAUGGCACCUGAGCAUCCUCCUAUGUGGACUAGUCUAUAUCCUGGUUUCUUUCCCAACUUUGA
Magnolia sinica is the source of this 491-nucleotide long non-coding RNA. RefSeq lists it as uncharacterized. The record is from RefSeq and is a predicted model, not a curated record. The transcript is spliced from 4 exons. Lineage: Eukaryota; Viridiplantae; Streptophyta; Magnoliopsida; Magnoliales; Magnoliaceae.